UCCUCCUACGGGAGGCAGCAGUGAGGAAUAUUGGUCAAUGGCCGAGAGGCUGAACCAGCCAAGUCGCGUGAGGGAUGACGGCCCUACGGGUUGUAAACCUCUUUUGUCGGGGAGCAAGACCCGCCACGAGUGGCGGAGCGAGAGUACCCGAAGAAAAAGCAUCGGCUAACUCCGUGCCAGCAGCCGCGGUAAUACGGAGGGGGCAAGCGUUAUCCGGAUUUACUGGGUGUAAAGGGAGCGUAGACGG
This 247-nucleotide ribosomal RNA is filed under the name uncultured bacterium. RNAcentral describes it as "partial 16S ribosomal RNA". It matches the Rfam family "Bacterial small subunit ribosomal RNA", at positions 334 to 578 of the family's 1533-position model. The record is from RNAcentral.